Acipenser ruthenus (sterlet) is the source of this 2507-nucleotide long non-coding RNA. RefSeq lists it as uncharacterized. The transcript has 5 exons. The record is from RefSeq and is a predicted model, not a curated record. NCBI's taxonomy places the organism in Eukaryota, Metazoa, Chordata, Actinopteri, Acipenseriformes, Acipenseridae.
UGAGAGUGCCAAUGUUGAGGCUGCUCGACUUCUUCAAGAAGCUGCAAGGAUUUUGAAGAGAGAGUCAGAAAGCACAGCCACUGCUGGCUCAGGAUCACAGACUGGUACUGGGACGUGUUCACCCAGUUCUUUUAGAGGUUUGUUUAACAACAUGCAAACCUCACUAGCUGAAGUACAACAGGGAACCCCUACAGUCGAUUCAGGCAGGAUUCCCUGCCCUAGAAAUGACCACAUUCAAAGAAAUCUUGUGCAGCUGUUUCAGCCAUGUGAUCGGGCAAGGGGGCAAAAGAUGUUCCAGAAAACUGGAAAGUGUAAACGGAAAACUACACACAGUGAAACCUGGACACGUGAUUUCUUUUGCUUACAGAGACCAAUGUUCAAACUGUGCCCAAUGGAGAAGACCGCAUUGGUUUACAGAAUUCAGCCCUUGGUAGGAAAAAAAUAACAUUUGCAGACAAAAAUUGAGGAUUUUCUGAACUAUGUGAAACUCUGUUUUCACAUUUUCCACAAUUGAAAGGUGCAGGAGGCUUUCAGAUGUUUUGGUCCGUUAAUAAAACCAAACAAUUGGCACCAAUUCCAAUGCCAGCCGGUGAGUACAGUGAGAAAUUUCUGAGAACUGAGAGUGGCCUGAACCAGGCAAUGGCCUACAUUCGACCACUUCAGAAAAACCUGGAGAGCAUUGCGAAGCGUGAGGCUGAAGAGGUAAGAACAGUUGUCAAAAUCUGAUCUCCUCUAUAUUCCUUCUUCUUCGCCUCCCUCUACAGACCUUUCUAUCUGAAUUUCCCUUGAUUCUAUCACCCUUUCCCCUUCCUCCUCUGCCCAAACCUUGGUGUCACCUUUGAUUCCUCCCUUUCCAACUCUCAACAUAUUUCUUCACUGGCACGCUCUUACUGUCUCUUUUUGAGCAAUAUCUAUUGCAUUAAACCUGCUGGACUAUGGCCCUCGACGAUCAGGACUGGAGAUCACUGGGUUAAGGUGUAAAUGCACAUGUAACACAUACUAUAAAAAUGAAGCAUGUUAAAAAUAAAUGUGUGUUUGUUUGUUGUAGUGUCAAGAGGUGGUCAUGGAGAAGUGCAAAAGGUGUGGAAAAGAUAUCCCUCUGCAAUGCCUUUCAGAACACAUUGAAAACUGUGGAAGGUCAUCUGUUUUUCUGGUGUAUUUGUCAUAUAAAUUGCUCAUUUACUUUUACAACAUAGUGGUUGACUUGUAUCUGUGGUAAAUAUGUUUUGACAUUCAAAGCAUGUAUGUCUUUGUUAACUGUUUUCAGACAGCCUGAUGACACUGAUUUGGAAGAUGAUGUCGUUAUGGAGAUAUCUGAAGAGACUCAACUAUCUAUGUCAUCACAUGACAACACAUCCCAUGUUCAAAAUUAUUACAACAAGUGCCAUGCUUCUUCUAGUGGACUGUACAGAGACUAUGUGGACCUUGUCAGUGAAGACAAUGUAUUUAGUGAUUCUGAAGAAGAGCAGCUGAAUAGAGUUCUAGAGGAAUCGCUAAAGGAAAGCUCGCAUGCAGCUUUUAAAUUUCAAAGUCAGACAAUUAAAAAGGAACUGGACGAGGCGGUUCGACUGGUAUGUUCUUCAGCGAACAAGAACACAGUUUGAAAGGUUGCAAGAAGGACUCCGUUCUCUCAGUGUAAUGGAUUCUAUGAAGGCCCACCCUGAAACCUUCAAACCUAUUUUCUGUCAAUCGACAGAGAAGCUGACUGCUGAUGUGCUUGAAGAGCUAUUCAAAGAGCAGCGAUCUGACUGUGGGAGUAACAAGUUUGAGAGAGAAAAUGAAGCAGUAUGUCAUUGGAGGGAUUAUCUCUUGGAUGUAGAGAUGGGGAUUUGUGGAGUUACCCUGGAGGACAUCCUUGUCUUUGCCACAGGAAGUGACAGUGUACCAGCAUUGGGCUUCAACCCUGCUCCAACUGUUGAAUUUUUGCAUGAUGGUUCACGGUUUCCACUUGCAAACACAUGUUCCAGCAUAUUAAGGGUACCAUGCAGGCAUUCAUACGAGUCCUUCAGGGAUGAUAUGGACUUUGGAAUUAAAAAUUCCCCAGGCUUUGGAAGGGCAUAACCAAAUUCCUUUGCUUACCAUACCUGUAGUCAAAGGGCACAAGUAUGUUCGAUCCUAAGAACAAUGUUAUGCAUGCCAAAGUGCUGCUAGAAUUUUUAUGUUUGUCAUUUUUGUUAUCUAUAAUUCUUUGUACACUUAAAUUUAGCAAGUGAGUCACCUUUGGUUGAGAAUUCUUACCUGUAGUUAUUAUUAUUGCAGAUAUUUAGCAGACACCUUUAUUAAGCACUACAAUUCAAUUUACUAAAAUAUUAAAAUGUAAUAGUUCAAUCUGUCAAUAUUAACAUCAGUGCUGAAAUGUUACAAGCCUUUAAAUAAAAGUAUAGGCUGGAUCUUUUCCCUCCUAAGGAUUUUUGGUAAUAGAGAAUUCUUAACAGUUGUUAAGUUGUUCCAAGAAAGAACAUUUUACUUUUCCUCCUUAUUAAUAAACACUAUUUGCAUUUCUGUGA